GAUGAAGAACGUAGCGAAAUGCGAUAAGUAAUGCGAAUUGCAGAAUUCAGUGAGUCAUCGAAUGUUUGAACGCACAUUGCGCCCUGUGGUAUUCCGCAGGGCAUGCCUGUUCGAGCGUCAUUUCAACCCUCAAGCUCUGCUUGGUGUUGGGCCCUGCCCGCUGCGGCCGGCCCUAAAGACAGUGGCGGUGCCGCCUGGCCCUGAGCGUAGUACAUCUCUCGCUCCAGUGCCCGGUGGUAGCCUGCCAGAACCCCAACUCUCGUGGUUGACCUCGGAUCAGGUAGGGAUACCCGCUGAACUUAAGCAUAUCAAUAAGCGGAGGA
Molecule: unclassified non-coding RNA, 323 nt
Filed under: soil metagenome
Description: partial contains 5.8S ribosomal RNA, internal transcribed spacer 2, and large subunit ribosomal RNA
Rfam family: 5.8S ribosomal RNA (bases 1-120)
Source: RNAcentral